CCCUUAGAUGUUCUGGGCCGCACGCGCGCUACACUGAUGCAUUCAACGAGCCUAUCCUUGACCGACAGGUCCGGGUAAUCUUUGAAUCUGCAUCGUGACGGGGAUAGAUUAUUGCAAUUAUUAAUCUUCAACGAGGAAUGCCUAGUAGGCGCAAGUCAUCAGCUUGCGUCGAUUACGUCCCUGCCCUUUGUACACACCGCCCGUCGCACCUACCGAUUGAAUGGUCCGGUGAAAUCUUCGGAUUGAGACUUUGUUUUCUUCACGGAAAACGCUGUUUUAAAAAGUUGAUUAAACCUUACCAUUUAGAGGAAGGUGAAGUCGUAACA
Molecule: ribosomal RNA, 326 nt
Filed under: uncultured eukaryote
Lineage: Eukaryota
Description: partial 18S ribosomal RNA
Rfam family: Eukaryotic small subunit ribosomal RNA
Source: RNAcentral